GACGAACGCUGGCGGCGUGCUUAACACAUGCAAGUCGAACGAAGAGCGAUGGAAGCUUGCUUCUAUCAAUCUUAGUGGCGAACGGGUGAGUAACGCGUAAUCAACCUGCCCUUCAGAGGGGGACAACAGUUGGAAACGACUGCUAAUACCGCAUACGAUCUAAUCUCGGCAUCGAGGAUAGAUGAAAGGUGGCCUCUACAUGUAAGCUAUCACUGAAGGAGGGGAUUGCGUCUGAUUAGCUAGUUGGAGGGGUAGCGGCCCACCAAGGCGAUGAUCAGUAGCCGGUCUGAGAGGAUGAACGGCCACAUUGGGACUGAGACACGGCCCAGACUCCUACGGGAGGCAGCAGUGGGGAAUCUUCCGCAAUGGACGAAAGUCUGACGGAGCAACGCCGCGUGAGUGAUGACGGCCUUCGGGUUGUAAAGCUCUGUUAAUCGGGACGAAAGGCCUUCUUGCGAACAGUUAGAAGGAUUGACGGUACCGGAAUAGAAAGCCACGGCUAACUACGUG
RNAcentral lists this ribosomal RNA (510 nucleotides) under uncultured bacterium. RNAcentral's name for it is "partial 16S ribosomal RNA". It matches the Rfam family "Bacterial small subunit ribosomal RNA", at positions 28 to 507 of the family's 1533-position model. The record is from RNAcentral.